Molecule: ribosomal RNA, 334 nt
Filed under: uncultured cyanobacterium
Lineage: Bacteria; Bacillati; Cyanobacteriota
Description: bacterial SSU rRNA
Rfam family: Bacterial small subunit ribosomal RNA
Source: RNAcentral
GCAAGACCGCGUGCGGGAGGACGGCCUAUUGGUUGUAAACCGCUUUUGAUAGGGAAGAAGUUCUGACGGUACCUAUCGAAUCAGCAUCGGCUAACUCCGUGCCAGCAGCCGCGGUAAUACGGAGGAUGCAAGCGUUAUCCGGAAUUAUUGGGCGUAAAGCGUCCGUAGGUGGUUGUUCAAGUCUGCUGUUAAAGCGUGCGGCUUAACCGCAUACCAGCAGUGGAAACUGGGCGACUAGAGUGCGGUAGGGGUCAGGGGAAUUCCCAGUGUAGCGGUGAAAUGCGUAGAUAUUGGGAAGAACACCGGUGGCGAAAGCGCCUGACUGGACCUGCAC